UACGUAGGGCGCAAGCGUUGUCCGGAAUUAUUGGGCGUAAAGAGCUCGUAGGCGGUCUGUCGCGUCGGUUGUGAAAACACAAGGCUCAACCUUGUGCCUGCAAUCGAUACGGGCAGACUAGAGUACUGCAGGGGAGACUGGAAUUCCUGGUGUAGCGGUGAAAUGCGCAGAUAUCAGGAGGAACACCGGUGGCGAAGGCGGGUCUCUGGGCAGUAACUGACGCUGAGGAGCGAAAGCGUGGGGAGCGAACAGG
RNAcentral lists this ribosomal RNA (253 nucleotides) under uncultured bacterium. RNAcentral's name for it is "partial 16S ribosomal RNA". It matches the Rfam family "Bacterial small subunit ribosomal RNA", at positions 524 to 776 of the family's 1533-position model. The record is from RNAcentral.